Molecule: non-coding RNA, 348 nt
Organism: Paramuricea clavata
Lineage: Eukaryota; Metazoa; Cnidaria; Anthozoa; Malacalcyonacea; Plexauridae
Source: the annotation of a GenBank genome assembly
UAUCAAAUCAAAUAAUCAAAAAACACGACACAGCGCACGAGCGCUUAUAAUCUCAUAGCUCGCGUGAGAAUUCGUAUAUACGUCACGUUAUCCCUAUAAGCUCAUCGAAUUAACUGGUUCAAUCAAGGUUCUGUAAAACUUCACAAUCACUGCUCCUAGGAAUUAUUAAUCUGAUCUUGCGAACAUUCUCUCAUCGAAAGUCAGCACUGUAUACUCAUGGAAGAAUUUGCAAGUUUAGCAGGUACACAUAAUGAAUUGUAAUCGUUAUAUUACUAGUCGUGUCUUACUUGAUGCGCUGCACUUCAGGUGAUCGCAAAAUUAUUGACGAAAACUAUGCCUAUGGAUCGG